This is a long non-coding RNA of Prosopis cineraria, 1054 nucleotides long. RefSeq lists it as uncharacterized. Lineage: Eukaryota; Viridiplantae; Streptophyta; Magnoliopsida; Fabales; Fabaceae. The record is from RefSeq and is a predicted model, not a curated record. The transcript is spliced from 3 exons.
GCAUGCUUUGCAUAGCUUAGGACACACGCAACUUUUGGCCUGUAAAGUGAUACACGGUAUAGGGGGAAAAUAGAAGAAGAAGAAGAACGAAGAUGGAUUCUGAGAUAUAAAAAAUUGAAAAACACUGUUGAUUUUUGUUAAAUGUUGUGACCGUGGGAUGCAUGUCAGCUUUCUUGUCCAUUAAAUCUUGGUUGCAUUUUAUAUCCGUCAUAGUGUAAGAAAAAUUUUUAAUUUAGCCGAGUGAAAUGGAAAAGAUCAGUUUUCUGGAGUUGUAUACAAUGCAGUUUUAUGUGCUCUCAUAGAAAUUGGAUCGUUUGUUACUUGUAAUCCAGCGAACGGACAAUUACUUUGGACACCAUGUGUGGUGAGUUCCGGGAUUGAGUGUGAGAUCAAUAACUGCUUGUGCGAUGCUCAUGGUCAUGGAGACGAUGUUUGUUCAGAAAUCAUCAAGCCGAUCAACAAACGACCUCCUUAGCGUGCUUGCUGUUUGAUGCAUCUCUUAAGCCUGCAAGUUCUCUUCAUUCAUGUGGGAUGUGGUUCAUUCAAAAUCACUUCAAGCAUGUCAACUAUGGAAGGAGGUUUCUUCGCUAUCCAUGCUACAAAAGCACAGGCAAACACGAACCACUACCAGAUCUCUUCAAUUCAGCGUUAUAAUAUUCAGCAAGAACAAAGCACAAUCAAGCACAACCAAAAACUGGGAAACACUUUUGAGCCAACAACCAAUUUACUGAAGCCCUCCUCUUCCUCCCUCAAUGAAACAAAUAGCAUUGCACUAGACUUGGAGAGCGCAAAGUGUAGGUCGGCCAAAUGUUUGAAGCAUCCGGACCCAAAUCCACAUAGAUGACGACUGAGGAUCCAAUUCUAUCUCUGUUAACCAGCUCAAUUGUUUCUGACUGUGUUAAUGGUCUAGUGGUUAACGGGCUAAACAUGUAAAAAUGUAAGGACCCAAUUUUGACAAAUAAAAAUUAUAAGGACUUGAUUCAAAACGGAAGCAAAGUAUAAUGUUUAGAUGAUAUGUUUUCCCUUAUUACUAUUAUGUGAAAACUAUGAGCUA